Molecule: long non-coding RNA, 3081 nt
Filed under: Mytilus galloprovincialis (Mediterranean mussel)
Lineage: Eukaryota; Metazoa; Mollusca; Bivalvia; Mytilida; Mytilidae
Source: RNAcentral
CUUCCUUCUUCAAUGUAGGUAAAUAUUCAUUUAUAUCAAAUUGAUAGGUUAGCUUCAGGUGUUAAUUGAAACAUGGAAAAUAUUGUGUUAUUGUCGUCAUUAUUUGGUAAGUUUAUUAAUGAACAUAUUCAUUUAGUUUCACAUUCAAACUGUAAACGUAAAAGUUUUCAGUUUAAUAUAGGAUACAUGUAUUCAAACAUUUUCUAAUACGUUCUUGGUCAAUUGUAACGUCAUGUGCUGCAUAAUUGUAAAAAGGUCCAAUAUAGAUAUUAGCAAAUAUCAACUAACAAACUGAAGAGAUUGUGCGCCUCUUGCACGUUGAAAUCGUUGAUCGAAGCUUGUUUUAAUGAGGUUUUUUUUGGGGGGGUCAUAAUUAUUAUUUUCAUCUUAUCUGAAAAAAAGAAGUGAAGUCACUGUAAUAGAAAAUAAUGAUUUGUUUUGUACUCUUAUACUAGAUUAAAUCAGACCCAUUUCAGAAAUUAAAAAAAAAAUAUGGUUUUUAAUUUUAGAUUAAUAAACAAUUCAUCUCGAUGUGAAAUAAGAUAUAAUACUCUGUUAACGACCACAGAACAUUUUUAACACCUUAGAAAAAACAAAUAACAUAAAUUAAUUAAAACAUUUUUAAAAGUAAUUCAAGCUAAUUUUAGUACAAUUUUAAUACCCUAACAAAGAUACAAGGUUUAUAAGUAUGAAUGCCAGGAGAGCGUAUCCUCUACAUGACGCUCAAAAAUAGGUGUGAUCAAAUCAUUUAGAAGGCCAAAUCCAAUACGAAGUUGAACAGCAUCAAAAACUAAACAUUUCCGAACAGUUGUGCUAAUUGCACAUAAAACGGUAACACAGUCUAUGUUUACAAAUAAAGCCAAAAAAAUAUUUCUGGGCCUUUUAUAGAUGACUAUGCGUUAUGGGCUCAUUGUUGAAGGUCGUACUGUGACCUAUAGUUGUUAAUUUCUGUGUAAUUUUGGCUCAUUGGCAAUCAAACCACAAUUAUUUUUUUUUAUAUAUACGCAGAUUAGCCUCAUCAGUAUUCAGUGUUCAGAAUAUGCUAUACCAAGGGAGCUUAAAUCCUUGUCCUUUACAAUAACAUGAAUUAUGAAAUUUAAUUUGACAGACAGAAUUAUUAGAUUACUGCCAGGCAAUGUAUUUUGAUUAUUUACAUAAAUUUAACGUAGUUAUCUUUUUUUCUUCCUCUGAAGUUAACGUGUAUGCAGGAUCUUGCUACUACAAACAUAGGGAUCCAACUUACUAUACUUCUACUUAUGAGUACUGCCUUGCUGGCUGUUGUGGCGCCGAUAAACCUGGUGGAUUAAAACAUUGCUGUAAUUCGACAGGGGCUACUAUCGGGAUUGUGAUUGCUAUAGUGGUCUUUGUGGCGUUGGUGCUCACAGCUUUAUACAUGUAUAGACGACGACGACGUAGACUUUUACUCGGUAUACGUAAUGGUAUUCGUUUGAUUGUGUCACUGUCCUUUUCACAACCUGAUCAAUAUGCAGAUCUGCAGAUCCUGCGCCUAAGCUUUGCAUACAAUAACAUAAAACUCCGUUUUUAUUCUGUUCUUGUUACUUUUUCAUCACCCGAUGAAGUUUUCCCUUCAAAAUGUUGAAAAGCAUGUAUCAAUCCAAUAACAAUACAGGAUCCAGAAAGUUAUUUUGAAUAGAGAGUAGAACGGAGAGUUUUCAUAUCCUUUUAUGCAAAAUUUGGAGACAGGAACUGUAUUUAAUUAAAAUUGUCCGUUUGUGCACUUGGUUGGAGGAACAUAUUUAAAGUGUUUUCCGUCCGUUCAACACAUUUGUAAACACUCAGAACUUAUUCAACAAAAACGUCAUGUACGUUUUAUACAAGUUUUUGAAGUUGUAAAAAGAGGCCUUUGUCAAGCCUAAUGACCGUAAUUUGAUUUGACAAUUUCUAUGAAGAUUAUCGGAUUUUUAGUAUGUUAUAACUUGACGCACGUCAUAAUAAUGCAUAAUGUCAAUCAGACUUAUCUGCUUUUAUUCUAGUAUAAACAGGGACUAUUAGUUGUUAAACAUUUAAUUCUUUAUAAUGAUAAUGGGAAAAUUUGUAAAACAAAACUGUUAAUAACUACUCCUGAUUGUUUUUUAAACGAUUUGUUUUUUUCGUAAGUUGAUUUAUAUCAUUUUCUAACUAAGAAUAUAAUUUUCUCAAACUUACUAAAUACCACAACAAACAAAUUACACAUAAAAUCAAAUAAAAAAACUUUAAAUUAAUAUAAAAGGUUAAAUCACUUAAAUAUUAAACUCCGAUUAAAACUCAAAACGGAAAGUCCCUAAUUAAAUGGCAAAAUCAAAUGAUAAAACAUAUCAAACGAACGGACAACAACUGACUUGGUACAUGUAUUUUCAAAUGUAGAAAAUGUUGGAUUGAGCCUGGUUUGAUAGCGCUAAACCUCUCACUUGUAUGACAGUCGCAUAAAAUUCCAUAAAAUUUACAACGAUGCGUAAACAAAACAUAAAUAAUAGGUGAAACAAUCAAAAAAUAGGUACAGCAGUCAUCAUUGUGUCACAAUCUCAAAACAAAAAAGUAUUUUGAAACAAAGCACAAAAGCAUCUAUCAAAUUUAAAAAAAAAACAAAACACAUUCAUUGCUUCGCGUGUUUGACGUCAGAAUAUCAUAUUUAAACAUUUUUGUUUUGUAGCUGGAUCGACAGAACGAGACAGAUUGGUGAUACCAGGUUCUCAGUCAACAGAUGGUCAUACACACUUUCAGAGACAAGCAAAGAAUAUUUACCAGUAAACAGAAACAGAUCCCAGAAAUGUGUGUCCACCAAGAAGUACUAUAUAAAGUCCGUACAACAGACAUAAUACUACUUUGUUAUUAAUAAACUCAUUCUAGAUACUAAGCUUUAAACAUUGUUCGCCAGACGUAUGUUUUGUCUAUAAAACUCAUCAAAUAAAAAAGGUCAAAUAAAGUAUCAAGACGCAAUAUUAUAAAUUUAUAUUUUAAAGACACACUUAGUGUUUUCUAAACUUUAUAUUGUUUCUCUGAUGCUUUUUUCCACUGUUUAGCUCUGUAAUGUUGGUAAUGAUAAAAAAAAUCCGCGAUAACAUGUCUUGUUAAUGGUAAUAA